RNAcentral lists this transfer RNA (66 nucleotides) under Rhinoceros unicornis (greater Indian rhinoceros). RNAcentral describes it as "transfer RNA-Pro". Lineage: Eukaryota; Metazoa; Chordata; Mammalia; Perissodactyla; Rhinocerotidae. RNAcentral also lists the same sequence under 1 other name. The record is from RNAcentral.
CAAGGAAUAGUUUAAGUAGAAUUUCAGCUUUGGGUGUUGAUGGUGAAGUUAGGGCUUCUUCCUUGA